GAGACCGGCGUACGGGUGCGUAACACGUGUGCAACCUACCUUUAUCAGGGGGAUAGCCUUUCGAAAGGGAGAUUAAUACCCCAUAACAUAUUAGAUGGCAUCAUUUAAUAUUGAAAACCACGGUGGAUAAAGAUGGGCACGCGGAAGAUUAGAUAGUUGGUGAGGUAACGGCUCACCAAGUCAUUGAUCUUUAGGGGGCCUGAGAGGGUGAUCCCCCACACUGGUACUGAGACACGGACCAG
RNAcentral lists this ribosomal RNA (242 nucleotides) under uncultured bacterium. RNAcentral describes it as "partial 16S ribosomal RNA". It matches the Rfam family "Bacterial small subunit ribosomal RNA", at positions 91 to 334 of the family's 1533-position model. The record is from RNAcentral.